Molecule: non-coding RNA, 798 nt
Organism: Delphinapterus leucas (beluga whale)
Lineage: Eukaryota; Metazoa; Chordata; Mammalia; Artiodactyla; Monodontidae
Source: RefSeq, a predicted model, not a curated record
UUCCUUUUCCAUUAAAACAGUGUAAACCAAACAAUUAUAUAAGGGCUUAGUUUUUGAACAGGAAGCUAUUUUCUAGCUCUGCAAGCCUGUAGGUCUAUGAAUCUGAAAACAUCUACUGCCUGUGCUUUCUUCAACUUGACAAACACCUUGGACAAAAUGUGGCAGCAAUUAUGCCCUGUGGACACCAGGAGUCAUGAACCGUUCAUCCCAGAGGACCUGCUGAGGCACUGAAUUACCACACUGAGGAAACCAAGCCCCAAAUAGCCUGGGUCCAGGGGGCUGAGUGCUUCUGCCUGUUUCAGAAAGAAAUGCACACGUCGGCACUGUGGAAACUGCCUCAGCAUCUUCAAACAGUUACAAAGACAUGUUGGGUCUCAUCACCAACCAAAGAGCCACUCUCACCUGUUCUUGCCUCUUUAAAAAAGCAGAUCCACUUGAAAUGAGAGCAGUGCGGAGGCCACAGCCAGUAGGAAGAUGGACCAAGUUUUCCACUUCUGUGGUUCCGAUGAAAAGGGUUUUGCACUCAUUUGGCUGGGUCAGUUUCACCAUCAGGUGUUCCAGGGAUUACUUAUGCUGGCUGGCCUGAUUGAACGACCAUAUGGCAAAGGCUCCUGCACUUCCAGCUGCCCAGAGUUCCUUUCCAGCUGCAGCGGAAACACAAGCAGUGUAGAAGGAGAUCAGAUGGACUUCUCAUCUCAGUUUUCUGGAGAGGUGGUUGGAGCCGAUGAUCCUGCAGGUCCUUCUGAUUCUACAAUCCAGACGUUUUAAAGACUCACGCCCACACCCCUACCCCACCCC